GCGUUCAUAGCUCAGCUGGAUAGAGCAACGGCCUUCUAAGCCGUAGGUCUGGGGUUCGAAUCCCUGUGGACGCGCCA
This 77-nucleotide transfer RNA is filed under the name Acidaminobacter sp. JC074. RNAcentral describes it as "tRNA-Arg". It matches the Rfam family "tRNA". From Rfam's summary of the family: Transfer RNA (tRNA) molecules are approximately 80 nucleotides in length. The record is from RNAcentral. Lineage: Bacteria; Bacillati; Bacillota; Clostridia; Peptostreptococcales; Acidaminobacteraceae.